AAAAUUUCACAAUAGUUUGCAUGCUGAUUUGAGCCUCUCCCAAUUCACUAAUAACCUCAUUGGACCAAGCAGGGCUCAAUGUAUUUCUUCACCAGCACAUGCUUUCUGACAGCAUUACGCAUCACC
Marmota marmota marmota (Alpine marmot) is the source of this 126-nucleotide unclassified non-coding RNA. NCBI's taxonomy places the organism in Eukaryota, Metazoa, Chordata, Mammalia, Rodentia, Sciuridae. The record is from Ensembl.